UACGUAGGGUGCAAGCGUUGCCCGGAAUUACUGGGCGUAAAGGGCGCGUAGGCGGCCAUCUAAGUCAGACGUGAAAUCCCUCGGCUCAACCGAGGAACUGCGUCUGAUACUGGAAGGCUUGAAUCCGGGAGAGGGAUGUGGAAUUCCAGGUGUAGCGGUGAAAUGCGUAGAUAUCUGGAGGAACACCGGUGGCGAAGGCGGCAUCCUGGACCGGUAUUGACGCUGAGGCGCGAAAGCUAGGGGAGCAAACGGG
This 253-nucleotide ribosomal RNA is filed under the name uncultured bacterium. RNAcentral describes it as "partial 16S ribosomal RNA". It matches the Rfam family "Bacterial small subunit ribosomal RNA", at positions 524 to 776 of the family's 1533-position model. The record is from RNAcentral.